This is a non-coding RNA of Rattus norvegicus (Norway rat), 2627 nucleotides long. The record is from RefSeq and is a predicted model, not a curated record. NCBI's taxonomy places the organism in Eukaryota, Metazoa, Chordata, Mammalia, Rodentia, Muridae.
CUGGAAGGUUUUGUCAUUGGCUGGACCAGGAGAAGCUUUCAGAAGAUUCUUAAUUCCGAGAAGACGGAGCUCUUGACAGAAGCCCUCCUAAGCUCGAGAAGUAGGAUAAUGGGAGACAACCUUGGCUUGGAUUUCUUCAGACCAGGCAGACCAUCGGAAUAAACAAAGUGGGGGUGUGCCUGUGUGGGUGUUUCAGCUUUACUUCAUGGUGACUUCUUUCUUUUGUCAGUGAUACUCUGUGCCUUGGCAGCCUUUCACAGUAUGUCACGGGUCACAUGGGAAGUAAGCAGAAGGCCAAGAUGUGGACGGACCGACUGGCUUAAUGUUGCUUUUCAAGGCAACAUUCUUUCCCCGUGUCUUCCAUUUGCCGGUUCCAGAGCUCAAAUGCAGUCGUCAGGCUUGUGUGGUACGGAGCCACCUCACCGGUUCCUGAACUUUUAUCCAGCUCCUCUGUUCCCUGCCCUUUCCUGAGGAAGUGUGCUGUUGGCUGGGUCUCAAUGAUUGGAAAUGGCAGAUAGUUGAGGAACUCACUCCUGCUCUCUUGGCUCCAGUUCCAGAGGGAUGACGUUCAUCAUGGAGAAAAAGGCAUGAUGACGGCAUGCAGGGAUGGUGUGGUUAAUGGGAGCAGAAGGCUGGCUAGUCACUGCAACCCAAAUGAUGCAGCUGAGUGUGACCAGGAAGUGGGGCUCGGCCAGAAAGUCUCCAGGUCCACCUUCAGUGACUCGCUCUCUUCAGAAAGGCUCUACCUCCUAAGGAGUCCACAACUUUUUCAAUCAGCGCUACCAUCAGGAAACUAUGUGUUCGAGUACUGGAAUCUAUGGAGGAACGGAUCAUAUGCAAUCCACUACAGAUUGAUGGGAAUGGCAUAUCAGGAUUUGUGGAAUAUAAAACAUCAGAUACAUGUAGGAUGAGCCUUAGAAAGAACUAGUGAUACACUGGAAACUUUCGCCAAUUUCUGCACUGUAGAUAUUCCCACUAUGGCUGACUUCAAUCUACCAGUGAUUUGGCACAGCAGCUGUGGAAGUCAGAAGAGGAUGUCGAUUUUCCUGGAGCUAGACAUACAGAGAUGAGGACCCACCUCAGGUCUAUGGGCUAGGUAAGUGCUCUCUAUUACUGAGCUAAAAUCCCCACGCCCACAUCUAUUUUAAUGUAUAUGUAUUCUAUCACCUUGUCUUUCCUUUCCCCUGACUCUCUUAAUAUCUCUUUGUCCCUUUUGAUCAUGUCUAUUUUCAUGAUCUACACAUGUGCAUGUGCACACAUCGUACACAUAGACACUCAUUUCAGUCUGGAUUCUGUAUAUAAAAGGAAGCAGGCAGAAUUUGUCAUUCUGAGGCUGGCUUAUUUUGCUUAACAUAAUGAUCUCCAGUUGCAUCCAUUUUCCUGCAAAUGUCAUGAGUUCAUUGUUCUUCAUUGCAGAAAAUUCCAUUAUGUUCACAAAUCAAAUUUUCCAUAUCCAUUCAUGUGUUGAUGGGUAUCUAGGCUGCUUCCAUUUUAUAGCUAUCGUGAACUGUGCUUCAAUAAGUGUAGAUGUGAAUGUCUCUUCCUGGGCUAUUUCUAUAGACCCUCUGGGUUAUGGCUAGGAGUGUAUAGCUGGGCCACUUAGGAGUUCUCUAUUAGUGUUUUGUAGAACCCCACAGUGAGUUAUAUAGAUGCUUCCCAAGUUUGUACUUACCCUGCCUAUCUGUGUUGCUCUUCCUCCACAUCCUCACCAGCAUCCGUUGUCAUUUGUUUUCUUGAUGACAGCCAUUCUGAAGGAGGUGGAAUGUACUCUCAAGACAUUUUUUCAAAGAGAUUUAUUUGGAUUAAUGGUUGGAAAUCUAUAUAGUACAUCAUGACAGGGAAGGCAUGAAGAGAGGACUAUGAAAUAGCUGACAGAGGAAUGAUAAUACUCAUCAGAUCUCCCGACCCAUUCCCCACCUUGUUAGUGCUUUGUUCACGUCCCCCCUCAAGUGACGUGUUUACCAUCUUGCCUCUCUCCCUGUGAACCUGGAUGUGAACAGUGAGAUGUAACAACGACUCAGCUCCCAUGCAGUGCUGUUCUGACAUUUACUCCACCAAGCAAAUUUGCUGCGGCAUAUAGUGACAAAUUCUCAGGACACAGACACAAUGUAGCCAGAUUUUGUUUUUGCCAGAAUAUAAUAUGAAUAUGUUUCUAGUUCAAAUCCUAAUAAAGUUGUCAUUCCUUUCUGAAACUUUAUGAGACAGGAUAGAAUGUCUGCAUUUCUAUUGGUGUUCUAGUCUUCUAUACUCCCACCAGGAUGGCCCAUUAAGCUCUAUUGCUUUUUCUAUCCCUAAAGUCUCUAACUAAAGCAGGACUUGUUCCUUUGGCUAAACUGGCUGCCUUACACUCCUGGAUUUAUCAUUUUUUACCCUCCACUGUACUGGGGUUACAGAUGCAUGCUACCAACCUCUGCUUUUAUAUAGGUGCUUGGGACCAAAACUCAGGUCUAUCCUUGUGCAGCAAACAUUUUAUCCACUGACCCAUCUCUUCAGCCAGCUCUUUAGUAUAUAUUUAACAUCUGUAGAAUUUAUUUAUUUGUGUGCGUGUGUGUGUGUGUGUGUGUGUGUGUGUGUGUGUGUGUGUGAGAGAGAGAGAGAGAGAGAGAGAGAGAGAGAGAGAGAGAGAG